Molecule: long non-coding RNA, 133 nt
Organism: Cucurbita maxima (winter squash)
Lineage: Eukaryota; Viridiplantae; Streptophyta; Magnoliopsida; Cucurbitales; Cucurbitaceae
Exons: 2
Source: RefSeq, a predicted model, not a curated record
UUCACGAGUACCACGAUCUAUCGAAACGGUUUAUCCUCGUCCAUCCGGCUGCCCUCGUAGUCUCAUUUCUCUCCCUCUACACCUUUGUGUUGGUUUGCUUCCCAUGGAAGAUGCUUGUGAUGUAUGCACUCUU